Molecule: ribosomal RNA, 523 nt
Filed under: uncultured bacterium
Lineage: Bacteria
Description: bacterial SSU rRNA
Rfam family: Bacterial small subunit ribosomal RNA
Source: RNAcentral
UGGGGAAUAUUGCACAAUGGAGGAAACUCUGAUGCAGCAACGCCGCGUGAGUGAUGAAGGUCUUCGGAUUGUAAAGCUCUGUCUUCUGGGACGAUAAUGACGGUACCAGAGGAGGAAGCCACGGCUAACUACGUGCCAGCAGCCGCGGUAAUACGUAGGUGGCAAGCGUUGUCCGGAAUUAUUGGGCGUAAAGGGCGUGCAGGCGGCCAGGCAAGUCUGUCUUAAAAGUGCGGGGCUUAACCCCGUGAUGGGAUGGAAACUGUCAGGCUAGAGUGUCGGAGAGGAAAGCGGAAUUCCUAGUGUAGCGGUGAAAUGCGUAGAUAUUAGGAGGAACACCAGUGGCGAAGGCGACUUUCUGGACAACAACUGACGUUGAGGCACGAAAGUGUGGGGAGCAAACAGGAUUAGAUACCCUGGUAGUCCACACUGUAAACGAUGGAUACUAGGUGUAGGGAGUGUUAAACUUUCUGUGCCGCCGCAAACGCAAUAAGUAUCCCACCUGGGGAGUACGACCGCAAGGUUG